GCCAGGCAUGGUGGCCCAUGCCUGUAAUCCCAGCUACUCAGGAGGCUGAGACAGGAGAAUCACUUGAAUCCAGGAGGUGGAGGUUGCAGUGAGCCAACAUCGUGCCAUUGCACUCCAGCCUGGGUGACAGAGUGAGACUCCGUCUCAC
This 148-nucleotide small RNA is filed under the name Macaca fascicularis (crab-eating macaque). RNAcentral describes it as "Metazoan signal recognition particle RNA (ENSMFAG00000065209.1)". RNAcentral also lists the same sequence under 2 other names. The record is from Rfam by way of RNAcentral. Lineage: Eukaryota; Metazoa; Chordata; Mammalia; Primates; Cercopithecidae.